CGGAGCAUGUGGUUUAAUUCGAAGCAACGCGAAGAACCUUACCAGGGCUUGACAUGCCGCUGACCGGUGCAGAGAUGCAUCUUUAUCCUUCGGGGUACAGCGGACACAGGUGGUGCAUGGUUGUCGUCAGCUCGUGUCGUGAGAUGUUGGGUUAAGUCCCGCAACGAGCGCAACCCUUGUCUUUAGUUGCCAUCAUUAAGUUGGGCACUCUAAAGAGACUGCCGAUGACAAAUCGGAGGAAGGUGGGGAUGGCGUCAAAUCAUCAUGCCCUUUAUGUCCUGGGCUACACACGUGCUACAAUGGUCGGUACAACGAGAAGCAAGCCAGCGAUGGCAAGCAAAUCUCUAAAAGCCGAUCCCAGUUCGGAUUGCAGGCUGCAACUCGCCUGCAUGAAGUCGGAGUUGCUAGUAAUCGCGGAUCAGAAUGCCGCGGUGAAUGCGUUCCCGGGUCUU
This 452-nucleotide ribosomal RNA is filed under the name uncultured Eubacteriales bacterium. Its description in RNAcentral is "bacterial SSU rRNA". It matches the Rfam family "Bacterial small subunit ribosomal RNA", at positions 933 to 1382 of the family's 1533-position model. The record is from RNAcentral. Lineage: Bacteria; Bacillati; Bacillota; Clostridia; Eubacteriales.